Molecule: long non-coding RNA, 440 nt
Organism: Peromyscus leucopus (white-footed mouse)
Lineage: Eukaryota; Metazoa; Chordata; Mammalia; Rodentia; Cricetidae
Exons: 2
Source: RefSeq, a predicted model, not a curated record
AAAAAAAAAAAAAUCCCACUUCCUCUAGAGGGAACAAAGGAAAAUAAAGCCAGGAAGAAAGUUUUGGAAGGCUAUGUCUGGAGGCUAUUCAGCGCCGGGGGAAACAGUGCCGGUGGGCCUGGCUUCAUCUACCAGUCAUUGUCCAGAAAUGUUCCUCUUGGUUCCUGCAACCAACAGCUGCUACAUGGUGCAAUUUCUACCAGUUCUCACAAGCCUGAAGAAUGGCCACUGACAGUCAAGGUCCUCCUCCUCUUCCUUCUCCUCCUCCUCUUUCUUCUUCUUCUUCCUCCUCCUCCUCCUCCUCCUCCGCUUCCGAUUCUGCUUCCUCUUCCUCUUCUCCUCCUCCUUCUUCAGUGUAUAACAUAUGGCGGCUCACUUUGCUGCCUCACCACUUGGUCCUGGCUCAUUUAACUUGAAUAAAGCAUCCAUUCAAACUUCUA